GGCUUGUGCAGGGGCGCGACGCCCGGGGCACCGGAGCCAGCCGGGGCCACGUCGGGGGGCGGGGGGCGGGGGGGGGGGCGGCUGCCGCUAAGAACGCGGAGCAAGAAGACGGGGCCGGGUCGCGGGCGACUCGGGCGAGCCGCAGUCCUCCGCCGUUGUGGGGGUGACAGUGGCCGACGGCCCGCGGGACCCCCCGCCUGGCACGGCUGCCUCCCCCCACCGACCGCCCGCGAAGGAGGGCCGGCGGGGACGGCGGGGUGGCCGCGCGGGGCCCAGGGGCUGCCGGCCGGGGUCGCCCCGCGCCCGCGCCCGCGCCCGCGCCCGCGCCCGCGCCUCGGCUGAGCCAGGGGCCGGGCGCUUCUGGAGAGGGGGGCGCACCCCGCCUGCCGAGGCGAGGACCCCGGAGGGGAGGCCCGAGGCCGCCCCGCUUCGCUGCUUCGCCCUAACCGCGUUGUCCCCGCGCCCAGGCUGCUGCGGGUGGGGGUGGGGGGGGAAAGGCGCGCUCUGCGACCCUAAGGCCCCUGCGUCGUGUGCGACCCUGGCCGCCGACAACCACUGAAGUAGGGAGGAGACAGAUGGCAGAAGAGGAGAGUCGCCGAGCCCGGAAGGAAGGAAGCCGAGCCCGGAAGGAAGCCUCGGAAAGGAAGGACACGCAGCCCCGCGCGGGGGGCCUCAUCUCUGCGACGCGACCGGUGGCCGUGGCCCACUCCCACGACCCUGCCCUCCGCCAGCCCCUCGUCAGGCUGCACCUCCGCCUGGUGCGGCCCCCUAGACCGCCAUCCCCGAGGACUCCGAGCUCCCGCUGACCCCGCCGGCCUCGGGCCACCGCCGUCUUCCGCCCACCGGGUCCCCCGGGCAUGGGAGUCCUGGGAGGGGCUGCGGUUACAUCGUCUUCCUUCCCGCCGCCCCCGCCGUGUACCGGCCGUCCCCUCGGUAGUCCGGAAGUCAGACCCCCCCCCCCCACCGGCUCUUCCUCGAACCCGCCGGGUGACUUGGACACGUUGCUUAAUGUCCCCGUGACUCAGCGUCUUUGCUGGAGAAAUGGGAGUAACCCUUGCCACAUGUGUCAUAGGAAACUUCGCGAGCUCACCGGUGCAGGCUGCAGGUGCGGAAGCGGCAGGUGUGACCGGGCCUAAUGGGGAGUGUGGCCUACCUGCUCCCGGCAAUUUACCUGGGCUCAAGGUGACAUGGCUUUGCUCCAAAACCCGGACCCCCCCCCCCCCCCGCCAUCUCUCUCUUCCAUUAGUGCUUGCCAGGACCAGGAGGCAGAGGAGCAGGACAGAAUGGGGUUCCCGCUUCUGCUCUGGGACCCCCACUGCAGUCCCGAACUUCUCGCCUCUGGACUCCUUUUAACGGAAAAACUCUUGAUUACGUCACUGUUCUUCCCUGUUGCUGUUACUUGAAGUAAAAGGCAAUUACCUAAUUGA
This is a long non-coding RNA of Prionailurus viverrinus (fishing cat), 1427 nucleotides long. RefSeq lists it as uncharacterized. The transcript is spliced from 2 exons. The record is from RefSeq and is a predicted model, not a curated record. Lineage: Eukaryota; Metazoa; Chordata; Mammalia; Carnivora; Felidae.